Molecule: transfer RNA, 61 nt
Filed under: Macrocheles glaber
Lineage: Eukaryota; Metazoa; Arthropoda; Arachnida; Mesostigmata; Macrochelidae
Description: tRNA-Tyr
Source: RNAcentral
GAUAAAAUGGCUGAAGAUAGGCGAUAAAUUGUAAAUUUAUAUAUGAGGUUCUCUUUUAUCA